Molecule: long non-coding RNA, 311 nt
Filed under: Nicotiana benthamiana
Lineage: Eukaryota; Viridiplantae; Streptophyta; Magnoliopsida; Solanales; Solanaceae
Description: long non-coding RNA (NBEN_LNC003692)
Source: RNAcentral
AAAUCCGAUUAUUCAAAUGAAGGUUGUUGUCUUUAGUAGGAAUCAUAAUCCUAACAUUAUGUCGUUCAGACAAGACCCCAGAUGUGAUCAUAUUCUAGUUGUAGUCAGCUCUGUGAGAAUAUAUGUCAUGAAGAAGUCGCCUUUAUGGUUGUACGUGAUCCAAAACAUGACAAUUGCAUUUACAUUAGCUAUUGGGUGAGAACUGGGAAGUAGGCACUACAAUAUGAGGAAUUAUAAGAACAACUUUGUAAAAACUAAUUCGGUAUAUUAUAGGGAGCAGGUGUUAGCAAUGACUAUAUACAGUAUACAAG